CGCCAGAGGUAAUGAAGCGGUCCCUGCCUUUUAACUAACCCAUUAGACGGAUGAAGCAAUUGAGUUCAGUGUUUUACACUUGGAAUCCAGCUGGCAUCCAGCUCUCAUCCCUUGGCAUUCUAGCAAGAGGCAGAUUCACCACGGCAGCCACUCGCAAAGGUGCAGAAUAAAUUGAAUUAAUAUUGUCUGGGAGUCUGGGAUGCUGUAACCAGCAGAGGCCCACAAGUGAGGUUUGUGCUGGGGGGAGCAUGAAUCACUGCGCGGCAACAGGAAUGUUCUCAUGAUUUUUUAAUGGCCCCCAGAAAAUGAAUGUGCACGAUUAAGAGAUGAAGGAAAGCUGACUUUGUCCCACGAAGUUGGUCAGUACAACACUGAAUCCACCAGAUGUGCCAGUCUCACACUUCAGUAAACAGGACUGCUAUAUUGCAUAUUAAUUUUAUUAAAGAAGUUAGUAAAGAAAACAUGGUUGAACUCAUGCUGUACAAUUUUGCCUCUUGCUUCU
Myotis davidii is the source of this 502-nucleotide long non-coding RNA. RefSeq lists it as uncharacterized. The transcript has 3 exons. NCBI's taxonomy places the organism in Eukaryota, Metazoa, Chordata, Mammalia, Chiroptera, Vespertilionidae. The record is from RefSeq and is a predicted model, not a curated record.